UUGAACGCUGGCGGCAUGCUUUACACAUGCAAGUCGAACGGCAGCGCGGGCUUCGGCCUGGCGGCGAGUGGCGAACGGGUGAGUAAUGCAUCGGAACGUGCCCAGUAGUGGGGGAUAGCCCGGCGAAAGCCGGAUUAAUACCGCAUACGACCUGAGGGUGAAAGCGGGGGACCGAAAGGCCUCGCGCUAUUGGAGCGGCCGAUGUCGGAUUAGCUAGUUGGUGGGGUAAAGGCUUACCAAGGCGACGAUCCGUAGCUGGUCUGAGAGGACGACCAGCCACACUGGGACUGAGACACGGCCCAGACUCCUACGGGAGGCAGCAGUGGGGAAUUUUGGACAAUGGGGGCAACCCUGAUCCAGCCAUGCCGCGUGCGGGAAGAAGGCCUUCGGGUUGAAAACCGCUUUUGUUCGGGAAGAAAUCCUCUGGGCUAAUACCCCGGGGGGAUGACGGUACCGGAAGAAUAAGCACCGGCUAACUACGUG
Molecule: ribosomal RNA, 483 nt
Filed under: uncultured bacterium
Lineage: Bacteria
Description: partial 16S ribosomal RNA
Rfam family: Bacterial small subunit ribosomal RNA
Source: RNAcentral